Rhagoletis zephyria (snowberry fruit fly) is the source of this 1103-nucleotide long non-coding RNA. RefSeq lists it as uncharacterized. Lineage: Eukaryota; Metazoa; Arthropoda; Insecta; Diptera; Tephritidae. The record is from RefSeq and is a predicted model, not a curated record.
GUUGCAAGGAAAACGUAAACAAGUUGCACAAGUGUGACGUCAUGCAAACAACGAUUCUGUCAAAUUCGUUAAGAGAGAAAUGGCGGUCCGAGAUCAGGCGCAACGUUUGUAUUCUCUCAAUCGUGAUUUGUUACUAUAUUCGUUUUCACUGUUUACCUUAUUUCAAAUAAUUUAGUGCUUUUUAAAUAUAAACAGUUUAACUGGCACAUAUCUGCGUAUGUAUGUAUAUAUUGGUUAAUGGUUGGCUUGGCUUGACAUUCCAGGUGUUGCUGUAUGGGACAAAUCCACACUUUAUCGCACAUUGUUGUAUUCAAGUUCUUUAUUAUUAAAUGUUAUCAAUAAAUGAAGCAUGAAAAUUUUAGACUAUUUGAUUAUAAGUAUGUAUUUAAAAUAAUUUUUGUUUUCCGUUACCUCCAUUUCCCCAUCUUUUUUCAUAUUAGAGUAUUUCUUACAUUCCACUAUCCAGUUCCCUCCCUCCGUCUCCAUAUCUCUACUAAACCAUUUUGUAAAUGCUUUAUACAUAUGUCCUAUGUACAUACAUACAUGCAUAUUUCAGCAAAUUAUUAAAUACUAAUACAUAUGUUCUAGUAGAUCUUGCUGCAUCCUCUUACUUUACUCCUUAGCUGCUUUAUACCUUUAGUCACACGCAGUGCCUCACUCGAUAGUCCGUUCGUUUGCCGUAACGUUUAACAGCCCCCUCACCACCUUCCUUAUCAUUCUUCGUCAGUAUUUCACUGGCGUUUUUCGUUUUCGUUUUCGUUUUAUAUACGCCUUUAACCCUCUUUGUCUCCGACCAUUGCAGGCUACAGCACCGCUGCUAAAGACUCCGCUGUCUCAAGCACAGCAGGCGUACGCAACGGCUGCCACCACAUAUACGGCUGUGGCGGCUAGGGCUGCUUAUGGCGCUGCUGCCGCCGCUGCACAGCCAGCACUGGCCGGUUACGCCACCGUCGCGGGAUACGCCGCAAGAGAGUAUGCAGAUCCCUAUUUAGGACAUGGCAUAGGACCGGUACCCGGCUAUGGGGCAACCAUGUAUCGAGGUGGAUUCAAUCGUUUCACGCCAUAUUAAUUUAAGAAGAUACCUGGACGACUAGGUAUGGAGA